Molecule: ribosomal RNA, 403 nt
Filed under: uncultured bacterium
Lineage: Bacteria
Description: partial 16S ribosomal RNA
Rfam family: Bacterial small subunit ribosomal RNA
Source: RNAcentral
GAUGAACGCUGGCGGCGUGCCUAAUACAUGCAAGUCGAACGCAGUGGGGACGGGUGAGUAACACGUGGGUAACCUCCCAUCAGAGGGGAUAACACUUGGAAACAGGUGCUAAACUGAUACUGAUUGAUGGACCCGCAGUGCAUUAGCUAGUUGGUGAGGUAACGGCUCACCUAGGCCACGAUGCAUAGCCGGACGGAGAGGAUGAUAGGCAACAAUGGGACGGAGACGCGGCCCAGACUCCUACGGGAGGCAGCAGUAGGGAAUCUUCAGCAAUGGACGAAAGUCUGACCGAGCAACGCCGCGUGAGUGAAGAAGGUCUUCGGAUCGUAAAGCUCUGUUGUUAGAGAAGCGGUAUCUAACGAGAAAGCCACGGCUAACUACGUGCCAGCAGCCGCGGUAAUUC